GGGGUUGUAGCUCAGAGGUAGAGUGCACUUGCCUCCCAUGCGUGAAGCCCUGGGUUCGAUCCUCAGCACCACA
RNAcentral lists this transfer RNA (73 nucleotides) under Marmota monax (woodchuck). RNAcentral describes it as "tRNA.Gly". Lineage: Eukaryota; Metazoa; Chordata; Mammalia; Rodentia; Sciuridae. The record is from RNAcentral.